This 373-nucleotide ribosomal RNA is filed under the name uncultured organism. RNAcentral describes it as "partial 16S ribosomal RNA". It matches the Rfam family "Bacterial small subunit ribosomal RNA", at positions 527 to 896 of the family's 1533-position model. The record is from RNAcentral.
GUAGGUGGCAAGCGUUGUCCGGAAUUAUUGGGCGUAAAGCGCGCGCAGGUGGUUCUUUAAGUCUGAUGUGAAAGCCCCCGGCUCAACCGGGGAGGGUCAUUGGAAACUGGGGAACUUGAGUGCAGGAGAGGAAAGUGGAAUUCCACGUGUAGCGGUGAAAUGCGUAGAUAUGUGGAGGAACACCAGUGGCGAAGGCGACUUUCUGGCCUGUAACUGACACUGAGGCGCGAAAGCGUGGGGAGCAAACAGGGAUUAGAUACCCUGGUGGUCCACGCCGUAAGCGAUGAGUGCUAAGUGUUGGGGGGGUUUCCGCCCCCUCAGUGCUGCAGCUAACGCAUUAAGCACUCCGCCUGGGAGUACGGUCGCAAGACUG